GCAGUGGUGGUUCAGUGGUUGAACUCUCACUCUCAGUGAGGGAAAUGUGGGUUCAAUUCCUAGCCAAUGCA
This 71-nucleotide transfer RNA is filed under the name Loxodonta africana (African savanna elephant). It matches the Rfam family "tRNA". Rfam says of the family: Transfer RNA (tRNA) molecules are approximately 80 nucleotides in length. Their secondary structure includes four short double-helical elements and three loops (D, anti-codon, and T loops). Lineage: Eukaryota; Metazoa; Chordata; Mammalia; Proboscidea; Elephantidae. The record is from Rfam by way of RNAcentral.